GCUUACGGCACCCUACCAGCCCCAGAACGCCCGGUCUCGUCUGAUCUCGGAAGCUAAGAAGGCUUGGGCCUGGUUAGUACUUGGAUGGAGACCCUCCUGGGAUAGCCAGGUUCUGUAAGCU
This is a ribosomal RNA of Denticeps clupeoides (denticle herring), 121 nucleotides long. The record is from Ensembl. Lineage: Eukaryota; Metazoa; Chordata; Actinopteri; Clupeiformes; Denticipitidae.